ACACUCCUACGGGAGGCAGCAGUGGGGAAUUUUGGACAAUGGGCGAAAGCCUGAUCCAGCCAUGCCGCGUGCAGGAUGAAGGCCUUCGGGUUGUAAACUGCUUUUGUACGGAACGAAACGGCCUUUUCUAAUAAAGAGGGCUAAUGACGGUACCGUAAGAAUAAGCACCGGCUAACUACGUGCCAGCAGCCGCGGUAAUACGUAGGGUGCAAGCGUUAAUCGGAAUUACUGGGCGUAAAGCGUGCGCAGGCGGUUAUGUAAGACAGUUGUGAAAUCCCCGGGCUCAACCUGGGAACUGCAUCUGUGACUGCAUAGCUAGAGUACGGUAGAGGGGGAUGGAAUUCCGCGUGUAGCAGUGAAAUGCGUAGAUAUGCGGAGGAACACCGAUGGCGAAGGCAAUCCCCUGGACCUGUACUGACGCUCAUGCACGAAAGCGUGGGGAGCAAACAGGAUUAGAUACCCGUGUAGUCCCA
Molecule: ribosomal RNA, 473 nt
Filed under: uncultured organism
Description: partial 16S ribosomal RNA
Rfam family: Bacterial small subunit ribosomal RNA
Source: RNAcentral